UAGCGGGGGUAAAAGGGCGUAUGGCGGAUGGCUCGAGAUAAAAUGGGCGACGAAGGGCGUGGCGUGACUGCGUUAAGCUUGGGGGAGGUGUCUAGCAACCUUUGAUCCCAAGAUUUCCGAAUGGGGAAACCUCGUUUUGCGAAAGCAAAACGAGCUCCGACCUUGCGUCGGAGCGGCGAACCCGCUGAAGUAAAACAUUUCAGUAAGCGGAGGAAAAGAAAACAAUAGUAUAUUCCCCAAGUAGCGGCGAGCGAAAAGGGAAAAGCCCAGAGUUCUUUUUUCUUGAUUAAUUUAUUAAUUAGGAAAAUUGAGCAGUAGUAAGUUUGGUCCGUAUGAGGGUUAAUCCUCGUGGAGAGUUGAAUCAAAAAAGGUCUGUCUAGCAGAACGGCCCUGGAAAGGCCGGCCAAAGAGGGUAAUAGCCCCGUAAGCGAAAGUCACCUUUGACUCUCUGGACCUUACUUGAGUACCCCGAAAAACGUGAUGUUCGGGGGAAACUGCCGGCACGAGCCGGUAAGGCUAAAUACCUUUUAUCAUCGAUAGUGAACCAGUACCGUGAGGGAAAGUUGAAAAGCAGCCCGGUGAGGGCGAUGAAAUAGUACCUGAAACCAUAUGCUUACAAGGAGUCGGAGUCCCGCGCCUUUUUACAAAGGCGCGGGAUGACGGCGUGCCUAUUGAAGAAUGAGCCAACGACUUAUCCAGCAUCUUUUGUCUAAGGGCGUCUAGCCCGGAGGCAAAGGGAAACCAAGUCUUAAAAUGGCGAAUUUGAUAUUCAUUUAUCAAAAAAGGUGCUGGAUAGACCCGAAGCCGGAUGAGCUUGCCAUGGCCAGGGUGAACCCCGCCGAAAGGCGGGGGGAGGCCCGAACCGUUUAGCCGUUCAAUACUAUCGGAUGAGCUGUGGCAAGGAGUGAAAAGCUAAUCGAAUUCGGUAAUAGCUGGUUCUCUCCGAAAUAGCUUUAGGGCUAGCGGCCCGUAAAAUACUGGAGGUAGAGCUACUAGAAGGUUCGUAUAGGGCGAAAGCUCGACGAUCCUACUAAACUCCGAAUGCCAGUUGUAUAUACGGGCUAGUCAGACUAUGGGGGCUAAGCUCCAUUGGUCAAAAGGGAAACAGCCCAGAUCUCAAUCUAAGGUCCCUAAAUUUCUGCUAAGUGCAAAGAAGGUGGUGGAGUUGCUUAGAAGCAGCCAUCCUUUAAAGAGUGCGUAACAGCUCACUCGUCAAGAGACUUCGCGCCGAAAAUUAUCGGGGCUAAGCAGAGUACCGAAGGUGAGGAAUUGGUGCUUGAAUUUUGGAUUUAAAAUUUAGUUCUUUGGAAAGGAGAACAGUCAUGGCCAAGAAAAUUGUUGAUGUUCCGAACCUGAUACGUUUCAACCGGGAUUUUGCGAAAGCUCUGGAAAAAGGCGAGAAGUGGGCCGUGGAACACAUGCGCAAAAGUGAAGAGUUGAACAGCGGCAAUCCGUACGCUUUCGAACGAAACUUCGAUGGAAAAAAACGACGAUGGUGUGGCGGAUGUAGUGACCCGGAAGGUUGUGUCGUAUGCCUUCUUCAUUAAUUAGCAACGAAAGGAGUAAUUUGGGGAGCCUUAAAAAAGUUCCCCUCCAAAAUUCAAGCACCAAUUGGUAGGAGAGCGUUCCAAUCGCAGUGAAGCUCACGGCGCGAGCCGGAGUGGAGCGUUUGGAAGUGAGAAUGUUGGCACAAGUAACCACAAGUCCGGUGAAAGCCCGGACCACCGAAAACCCAAGGUUUCCUUGGCAAUGACAAUCAGCCAAGGGUUAGUCGGCCCUAAGCCGAUGGCGAAAGCCGGAGGCGAUGGACAGCAGGUUAAUAUUCCUGCACUGCGUAUAGUUUUGACGGCAGGACGGAGUCUAGUAUGCAAAGCGCAUUAUUGGAUUUGCGUUCGGGCUUUGAGGAUAGAGCGCAGGCAAAUCCGCGCUCAAGCGCUUUAAUGCGCGCUAUCCAAGAAGAGCGAAAAUUUUUUCCGCAAGGUUAAGAAAUUUUGCAAAGCAGGCUUCCCAGAAAAAUGUCUAAAAUUAUCUAUACGCAACCGUACCGAAAUCCGACACAGGUGGGUAGGUCGAGAAGACCAAGGUGAACGAGUGAAAGAUCCCCAAGGAACUCGGCAAAAAAGCAUCCGUAAGUUCGCAAUAUGGAUUUCCCCGCGCAAGCGGGGACGCAGCGAAAGUACCCCUGGCGACUGUUUAACAAAAACACAGCUCCCUGCAAACUCGUAAGAGGAAGUAUAGGGGGUGACGCCUGACCAAUGCGAGAAGGUUAACGUUGGCGGUUCUAUGUAGCAAUAUGUAGGGCUGACUGGCCGAAGCCCUCGUCAAUGUCGGCCGUAACUAUAACGGUCCUAAGGUAGCGCAAUUCCUUGUCAGGUGAGUUCUGACGCGCACGAAAGGCGUAACGACUGGGGGACUGUCUCGGGGAUUUGCUCGGUGAAAAUGCGAUACCGGUGAAGAUGCCGGUUAGGUGUAGUUAGACGAAAAGACCCCGGAAGCUUUACUGCAAGUUGUUAUUGGCUUUACGUUUUUAUUACGUAGCGUAGUGGGGAGGCCUUGAAUCCGCCGUCUCGGCGGCGGAGGAGCCGCCAAUGAAACACCCAUUUUUAAAAAUGUAAAAUCUAACCUGUCCCGCAAAACGAGACGGGGACAGUAGCUGCUGGGCAGUUUGUGUGGGGCGCAAUCCUCCUAAAAAGUAACGGAGGAGUUUAUUAAGGUCGGCUUAGCGCGGAUGGACAUCGCGCCGGACCUGUAAGAGGAAAAGCCGGCUUAACUGCGAGACGGACAGGUCGAGCAGAUGCGAAAGCAGAAUCUAGUGAACCGACCGUUGGCACUCGAUGCCGCGGAAGAUUAACGGAUAAAAGCUACUCCGGGGAUAACAGGCUAGUUCCGUCCAAGCGUCCAUAGCGACGACGGAGUUCGGCACCUCGAUGUCGGCUCAUCUUAUCCUGGGGGUGGAGAAGCUCCCAAGGGUUUGGCUGUUCGCCAAUUAAAAAGGUACGUGAGCUGGGUUCAGACCGUCGUGAGACAGGUUGGACUCCUAUCUACUACACCCGUUGAUUCUUGAGGGGGGUUCUUCCUAGUACGAGAGGACCGGAAGGAGGCGACCUCUGGUUUGCCUGCUCUGCCGCCAGGCGGAACGCAGGGUGGCUAAGUCGCUAAGUGAUAAGCGCUGAAAGCAUCUAAGCGCGAAGCAUGCCCCAAGAUUAGGAAUUAUUGAUUCCUCGAAGACUACGAGGUUGAUAGGCUCUAGGUGUAAGAUCCGCAAGGAUUUAAGCCGAGGAGUACUAAUAGAUCAAACAACCUGAUAAG
This is a non-coding RNA of Candidatus Giovannonibacteria bacterium, 3309 nucleotides long. Lineage: Bacteria; Candidatus Giovannoniibacteriota. The record is from Rfam.